GCAUGAGGUGGGAGGUGGGGUGGUUCCCGAAGUCGGAGCUGACAUAGCCUAUCCUCAGACGCCCCUUGCUGAGUACCAGGUC
This 82-nucleotide microRNA precursor is filed under the name Branchiostoma belcheri (Belcher's lancelet). RNAcentral describes it as "microRNA bbe-mir-705 precursor". Its record names the gene bbe-mir-705. Lineage: Eukaryota; Metazoa; Chordata; Leptocardii; Amphioxiformes; Branchiostomatidae. The record is from miRBase by way of RNAcentral.